UACGGGGGGGGCAAGCGUUGUUCGGAAUUACUGGGCGUAAAGGGUUCGUAGGUGGCCUGCUAAGUCAGACGUGAAAUCCCUCAGCUUAACUGGGGAACUGCGUCUGAGACUGGCGGGCUUGAGUGCAGGAGAGGAACGCGGAAUUCCAGGUGUAGCGGUGAAAUGCGUAGAUAUCUGGAGGAACACCGGUGGCGAAGGCGGCGUUCUGGACUGUUACUGACACUGAGGAGCGAAAGCCAGGGGAGCAAACGGG
RNAcentral lists this ribosomal RNA (253 nucleotides) under uncultured bacterium. Its description in RNAcentral is "partial 16S ribosomal RNA". It matches the Rfam family "Bacterial small subunit ribosomal RNA", at positions 524 to 776 of the family's 1533-position model. The record is from RNAcentral.